GACCGGUCUAUUUUAUCCUUGUCAUUUCUAACAACAUUAAAAAGGGUAUUCCUCCUGGCAAUACUUAAUACCGGGGGGUGUAUGAGAUUCCUGCCAGGAUAAUGAUUUCGUCAAAAUGUUGGUUGUAUGGGUUGUGCGGCCGGGUCCUUGUCGAGGAGAUUAAAGGGACAUGGGAGGGAUGUGGAGAAAAGGGCUGCAACAGCAGCCUUGGUGCAAAGAGUGCUCUCAUCAGACUUAAACAUGGACUGGGAUGGCGCUCGGAUCUUGAGGAGGGGGGGCGAUCCUGAGAGAGAGAGGAUGGUAGAAGCAAUAAAAAUUUAUAAGGAAUCGAGCAGGAAACCGAUUGGCGUUGUUGAUCCUGCAGCCCUUAAUAACGGUUGGAAGUCGUGUG
Molecule: long non-coding RNA, 391 nt
Filed under: Androctonus crassicauda
Lineage: Eukaryota; Metazoa; Arthropoda; Arachnida; Scorpiones; Buthidae
Source: RNAcentral